GGAAAGACCCCGUGAACCUUUACUAUAGCUUGACACUGAACAUUGAGCCUUGAUGUGUAGGAUAGGUGGGAGGCUUUGAAGUGUGGACGCCAGUCUGCAUGGAGCCGACCUUGAAAUACCACCCUUUAAUGUUUGAUGUUCUAACGUGGACCCGUGAUCCGGGUUGCGGACAGUGUCUGGUGGGUAGUUUGACUGGGGCGGUCUCCUCCUAAAGAGUAACGGAGGAGCACGAAGGUUGGCUAAUCCUGGUCGGACAUCAGGAGGUUAGUGCAAUGGCAUAAGCCAGCUUGACUGCGAGCGUGACGGCGCGAGCAGGUGCGAAAGCAGGUCAUAGUGAUCCGGUGGUUCUGAAUGGAAGGGCCAUCGCUCAACGGAUAAAAGGUACUCCGGGGAUAACAGGCUGAUACCGCCCAAGAGUUCAUAUCGACGGCGGUGUUUGGCACCUCGAUGUCGGCUCAUCACAUCCUGGGGCUGAAGUAGGUCCCAAGGGUAUGGCUGUUCGCCAUUUAAAGUGGUACGCGAGCUGGGUUUAGAACGUCGUGAGACAGUUCGGUCCCUAUCUGCCGUGGGCGCUGGAGAACUGAGGGGGGCUGCUCCUAGUACGAGAGGACCGGAGUGGACGCAUCACUGGUGUUCGGGUUGUCAUGCCAAUGGCACUGCCCGGUAGCUAAAUGCGGAAGAGAUAAGUGCUGAAAGCAUCUAAGCACGAAACUUGCCCCGA
Molecule: ribosomal RNA, 721 nt
Filed under: Salmonella enterica subsp. enterica serovar Infantis
Lineage: Bacteria; Pseudomonadati; Pseudomonadota; Gammaproteobacteria; Enterobacterales; Enterobacteriaceae
Also listed under: 4 other names
Description: partial 23S ribosomal RNA
Rfam family: Bacterial large subunit ribosomal RNA
Source: RNAcentral